This 290-nucleotide long non-coding RNA is filed under the name Olea europaea (common olive). RNAcentral describes it as "long non-coding RNA (OEUR_LNC007423)". Lineage: Eukaryota; Viridiplantae; Streptophyta; Magnoliopsida; Lamiales; Oleaceae. The record is from RNAcentral.
GUACCCGUGAAUAGUGACUUUUUUUUUUUUGCCUAAUCAACUAGAAAGAAAAUUGAACAAGAAAACUGCUGCCUCAUAACAAUUUUUUUGUUUGUGCUGUUCCACAAGUUUUUGGGAAGAAGAUAGGAAGAAAGUUUUGGAUUGUGGAUGAAAAAUUACCCAAAUUUUGGCUCUGAUACCACUUUGAUGCAGGAUGAGGGAUGAUUCCUGCAGAAUAAUUAGAAAUAGCAAAAUAGCACAACUUGCAAGUAGAAUUCCAGUGAGAAGAAGAAGAAGGCAGCAAGAAGGGG